UAAUUGAAGAGUUUGAUCAUGGCUCAGAUUGAACGCUGGCGGCAGGCCUAACACAUGCAAGUCGAGCGGUAACAGGGGGAGCUUGCUUCUCGCUGACGAGCGGCGGACGGGUGAGUAAUGUAUGGGGAUCUGCCCGAUAGAGGGGGAUAACUACUGGAAACGGUAGCUAAUACCGCAUAAUCUCU
Molecule: ribosomal RNA, 185 nt
Filed under: Providencia rettgeri
Lineage: Bacteria; Pseudomonadati; Pseudomonadota; Gammaproteobacteria; Enterobacterales; Morganellaceae
Also listed under: 1 other name
Description: partial 16S ribosomal RNA
Rfam family: Bacterial small subunit ribosomal RNA
Source: RNAcentral